CCUCCCGUAGCCGCCUCCCUCCCUCCCUCCCACUCACCGCCGAUCUUCCGUACACCCCCUGCCAUCGCGCGGCUGCCGUCGCUGCCGCUCGCCUCGCCCUCCAUCCCCAGCGUCUCCCCCCCCCCCCCCCCCCCCACACACACACACACCGAAGGCCUCCCCUUGCUCCGCCUCUUCCUCGACCUCUCACGCUCGCUCGCGACCCUCAGCCGUGGCUAGGGUUUCGGGCUGGGCAUCGCCUUCGUCGCCGGCGUGGCUCCAGCGGACCCCGGCGGCUCCUCUCCGUCUCCUCCCUCGCCCCCCACACAUUUGGUGCAGCAGCCGCUGUGGAUCAAGUUCUUGGUGGAGAUGCAACGGAUGCUCAAAGUGAUUCAUCAGGGAGGACCCCCGCCAGUAGAGGGAUGGCUCCUGUCCAAGAAAGGCCAUCCAUGGGUUAUGGCAGGAGACCAGGAGAAGAACAAGCAAUUUUAUCUAAAAAUAGAAGAGCUAGCACCAAAGAGCCCCAGCCCACCUCCAAGAUCAAAUUCUAUAUAAUUCAUGAAUAGUGGUUGUCGACACAUCUUCUAACAAAGUCACCUCUAAUGAUCCUUCUGUCGACAAGCAGCUAGACCCAAGUCUCCAGAAAAAGCAUGGCCGCCGGCACAAAAUGGACGAAGAAGAGGUGAGCUGCCGCGACAUUGAAGCUCUCGCACCGCUGCUCCCGUCGAGCUCGCGCGUGCAACGGAUCUGAUGGCGAACACAGCCCGUCUGUCCGCCGGCACCUCCAAGCAAGGCCUACAACAGCAGAACUGUUUGGGAGAUCAAGCAGAAAAUUGUUGGCUGUCGAUCGUGGCUGCUACAUGGAUCAAAGCCAGAGCCUUAAUAUCAACAUGGAUCUGUAUAACUUCAUUGCACUUCCACGCCUGGUCCAUGGUUUGCCUGUCAAUUUAGAUACUGUUUAGCACUCUGUGAUUUUACUGAAAAUUUAGCAGUCAGUGUUGAACAGGUCGUUACAUCCCCACGCUUGAACAAGUCACAUGACAAGGCGUUCAAUCAAAGCUCUCUCUAUAUGUGGUCUACUAUAAAAUAUAUUACUUUACCAUAGUAGAAUCAAAUAGAUUGGUUAUCCUGUGUUAUCAUUAUGCCCUGCUUUUAGUAUAUUGUAAAUCUUGCUUUGUACCGAAUCUUUAUGCAAAUCGAUUAUCCUGGGCUACCACUAUGCCAUUCUCUUGGAAUGUAAUGAAUCUUGGUGCAAAUCAGUUAUCCUGUCAAAUCUUGAUGCUUUUUUACUUAACCACUAUUAUUAUAAAUAUGCAUUCUGUUGAACCAGCUCCUUCUAUGGGAGACGCUUGACCAUUGCCUUACACAGGCACUACACGUUGCGCUUUCUGAUGUAAAUCACUUCCUGGACAGGCGACACGCAUCCUGAUGCAAAUCAGUUCCUGGACAACCAACUUGAGAUCAAUUAUCCGAGGACUUCAGUUCAAAUUGUCAGUCCUGAGGUGAACCCCGAAAGGCGUCAUGUUGUUGUCUAGGGGCUCUCCAAGAAGAACUAUAAAGGCAGGGACACCUCCAACUUUACUUCAAAUGACUCAAGCAAUCGGCACUAUGGUUCACAAGAAAGUGGCUUGACCAACACCCCAUGAAGCCACAACCAGGAACAGGGCACGUUUGAAGGAGCAAAAAGGCAAGUUUCUCUUCAUGAUUAUUCAUUUGUGCAUACAACCCCACUUGGCGUAUGCGCAUGAGGACUUAAUCGACUUAACUAUAUUUUCCAGUGCAAUGUUUUGUGCAAAUUAAGAUAGCAUCAUGAGAACAAACGUGACACCUACUGCUGAUUAGCAUCCUACAUGGCCGUUUUGGCACUGGAAAACACAAAACAAGCUAUGAUCAUGUAAGGGCUAUCUAAAACUUUGCUCCUCAUUAAACGAUCUUCUGUAAUUGUCGGUCAUUUAAGAGACCAGUCCAAAUGUCAGCUUAAAUAUACACCAAAACAUUAUAACAUGGCUUUAUCAUUCUGGAUGGAAAUCUGGAGUGUUUCCAUCCAAGUUACAUUGUUCUUGAAUGGUAAUACUUUGUCACCCUACUAGAGUUGUUAAUGUAAAUGGUGACAAGGUGAUCAUUGUCACCUCAUUG
Triticum aestivum (bread wheat) is the source of this 2115-nucleotide long non-coding RNA. RefSeq lists it as uncharacterized. The record is from RefSeq and is a predicted model, not a curated record. The transcript has 7 exons. NCBI's taxonomy places the organism in Eukaryota, Viridiplantae, Streptophyta, Magnoliopsida, Poales, Poaceae.